GGNCUAUACAUGCAAGUCGAGCGCAGUCAUUUUCACCCGAAGGCUUGCUCCGCUGGAAGCUAAAAGAGCGAGCGACGGGUGAGUGAGUAACGCGUGACCUGCCUGCCCUUUAGCUAGGGAUACCGCUUGGAAACAGGUGCUAAUACCAAAUAAGAAAACCGAGCGCAUGCUAUUUCUAUGGAAGGCGGCUUUGUCGCUGACGCUUGGGGACGGGCCCGCUGUGCAUUAUGUAGUUGGUACGGUAACGGCUUACCAAGGCAAUGAUGCUACCUGAGUUGAGAGAGGAUCGGCCACAUUGGAACUGAGCACGGCUAAACUCCUACGGGAGGCAGCAGAAGGGAAUCUUCCACAAUGGACGUGAUCUGAUAGAGCAACGCCGCGUGAGAAAAGAAGGUUUUCGGAUCGUAAAGCUCUGUUGUUGGUGAAGAAGGAGUGAACUGUUCUGAUUCAUAUUUGACGGUAAUCAACCAGAAAGCUCGGCUAACUACGUGCCCGCGCCGCGGUAAUAUUAGGUGGCAAGCGUUGUCCGGAUUUAUUGGGCGUAAAGCGAACGCAUGCGGAAGAACAAUUCAACUGUGAACGCCCUCGGCUUAACCGGGGAAUUGCAACUGAAACUGUUUUUCUUGAAUGCAGAAGAUGAGAUUGGAUGUCCAUGUGUAGCGUGGGAAUGCGUAUAUAUAUAACACCAACACCAGUGGCGAAUCUCGCUCUCUGGUCUGUAACUGACGCUCAAGUUCGAAAGCAUGGGUAGCGAACAGGAUUAGAGACCCUGGUAGUCCAUGCCGAUGACGAUUAGUGCUAAGUGUUGGUAGGCCUCCGCCUGUCAGUGCUGCAGCUAACGCAUUUCCCACUCCGCCUGGCGAGUACAACCGCAAGGCUAAAACUCAUAGGAAUUGACCGGGGCCCGCACAAGCGGUGGAGCAUGUGUUUUAAUUCACAGCAACAACCAUAACCUGACCAGGUCUUGACUUCUAAUGCCAGUCCUAGAGAUACCACGUCCCCUUCGGAGACACAGGGACAGGUGGGGCAUGGCUGGUCUCCAGCUCGGGAUCGGGUAGAUGUUUAGGUUUCAGCUCCCGGCACCCAAGCCGCCUUACCUCUUUUAUUUUUGUUCCGUCUGCCUAGCCAUUUUGAGGC
RNAcentral lists this ribosomal RNA (1137 nucleotides) under Lactobacillus sp. Taj Naser-1. RNAcentral describes it as "bacterial SSU rRNA". It matches the Rfam family "Bacterial small subunit ribosomal RNA", at positions 46 to 1144 of the family's 1533-position model. The record is from RNAcentral. Lineage: Bacteria; Bacillati; Bacillota; Bacilli; Lactobacillales; Lactobacillaceae.